RNAcentral lists this long non-coding RNA (287 nucleotides) under Physcomitrium patens. Its description in RNAcentral is "long non-coding RNA (PPAT_LNC013079)". Lineage: Eukaryota; Viridiplantae; Streptophyta; Bryopsida; Funariales; Funariaceae. The record is from RNAcentral.
AAACAAGAGUGAAGCUUUCUUUACUCUUAUCAAUUCCUUUCUUGCUUCUAGUCUAGUUUCAAGAGUCUCAAGUUUCCUUGUCUUUUGGCAAUAAGCAAUUCCAUUUUUUUUUUAAUAUAUGUACUUCCUUAUUUCUAUUUUGUCACUCUUUCUUUGACAUGGAUUUCAUUGAUUUAUGCAUCAUCUUUUAGUUCAUGUCCUUAACACUAAAACUUCUUAUAACUCUAAUGACCUAAGUAAAUAUCUCAAAUCUGAUUUGCCACUCAAAUAUCACUCUUAUGCUCACA